This 468-nucleotide ribosomal RNA is filed under the name uncultured bacterium. RNAcentral's name for it is "partial 16S ribosomal RNA". It matches the Rfam family "Bacterial small subunit ribosomal RNA", at positions 28 to 507 of the family's 1533-position model. The record is from RNAcentral.
GACGAACGCUGGCGGCGGGCUUAACACAUGCAAGUCGAACGGAAAGGCCCUGCUUUUGUGGGGUUCUCGAGUGGCGAACGGGUGAGGAACACGUGAGUAACCGGCCCUUGACUUUGGUGUAACUUCAGGAAACUGGGGCUAAGACCGGAUAGGAUCUCCUGCUGCAGGGUGGGGGUUGGAAAUUUUCGGCGGGUGGGGAUGGACUCGCGGCUUAUCAGCUUGUUGGUGGGGUAGUGGCUUACCAAGGGUGUGAAGGGUAGCCGGCAUGAGAGCGUGACCGGGCACAUGGGGACUGAGAUAGGGACCAGACUCCAACGGGGGGCAGCAGUGGCGAAUAUUGCCCAAUGGGAGGACGCCGGAUGCAGAAACGCUGCGUGCGGGAUGCCGGCUUUCGGGUUGAAAAAAGCUUUAGCCUGUGACGACGCGUGAGUGACGGUAAUGGGUAAAGAAGCACCGGCUAACUACGUG